GACGAACGCUGGCGGCGUGCUUAACACAUGCAAGUCGAGCGAUGAAGCACCUUCGGGUGUGAAUUAGCGGCGAACGGGUGAGGAACACGUGAGAAAUCUGCCUUCAACUCUGGGAUAACUCCGUGAAAACGGGGCUAAUACCGGAUAUGAGAUCUACAGGCAUCUGUGGAUCUGGAAAGUUUUUCGGUUGAAGAUGAUCUCGCGGCCUAUCAGCUUGUUGGUGAGGUAAUGGCUCACCAAGGCGACGACG
RNAcentral lists this ribosomal RNA (250 nucleotides) under uncultured bacterium. RNAcentral describes it as "partial 16S ribosomal RNA". It matches the Rfam family "Bacterial small subunit ribosomal RNA", at positions 28 to 281 of the family's 1533-position model. The record is from RNAcentral.